Non-coding RNA from Notechis scutatus (mainland tiger snake), 208 nucleotides. Lineage: Eukaryota; Metazoa; Chordata; Lepidosauria; Squamata; Elapidae. The record is from RefSeq and is a predicted model, not a curated record.
AUCAUCUGGCAAAUUGAUCUUCCAUCUUCUUCUUUCUUUUCUCCUUCUUUGCAGAGGUUCCUGAGGAUCGAGAGCUCGGUUCAUGCAGAUUAAGCAAAUCUUAGAGAAAAAAUUCCCGAACAAACUGGACAUUACGGGAGAAGUUGCUGAGGGUGGGACCUUCGAAGUGGUUCUGCCAGAACCCGAUAUAGUUUUGCAUUCCAAGAAG